This 499-nucleotide ribosomal RNA is filed under the name uncultured bacterium. Its description in RNAcentral is "partial 16S ribosomal RNA". It matches the Rfam family "Bacterial small subunit ribosomal RNA", at positions 30 to 523 of the family's 1533-position model. The record is from RNAcentral.
AUUGAACGCUGGCGGCAGGCCUAACACAUGCAAGUCGAGCGGAUGACGGGAGCUUGCUCCUUGAUUCAGCGGCGGACGGGUGAGUAAUGCCUAGGAAUCUGCCUGGUAGUGGGGGACAACGUUUCGAAAGGAACGCUAAUACCGCAUACGUCCUACGGGAGAAAGCAGGGUACCUUCGGGCCUUGCGCUAUCAGAUGAGCCUAGGUCGGAUUAGCUAGUUGGUGGGGUAAUUGCUCACCAAGGCGACGAUCCGUAACUGGUCUGAGAGGAUGAUCAGUCACACUGGAACUGAGACACGGUCCAGACUCCUACGGGAGGCAGCAGUGGGGAAUAUUGGACAAUGGCGAAAGCCUGAUCCAGCCAUGCCGCGUGUGUGAAGAAGGUCUUCGGAUUGUAAAGCACUUUAAGUUGGGAGGAAGGGCAGUAAGUUAAUACCUUGCUGUUUUGACGUUACCGACAGAAUAAGCACCGGCUAACUCUGUGCCAGCCGCCGCCGUAA